AAAUAAAAUACAACUUCUGUCAAGGAAUACCUUUGUACUUUUGAGUCCUAAACCAAUAUCUUCACUUUUAUGUUUUUCUUUAACAAUAGGCAGUGGAAGGUCGAUCAAUUCUCCAAUUAAAUUCAUUUGUUAGAAAUCAAGUCUUAGAUUGUCUUCUAUCUACAACAACAAGACACUUCCUGCUCUGAAUAUUUGGGGACUCUAAUUUCUAACCCGCAUGGCUCAAGAUACUAAAAGAGCUGCUGUUGAAGGGGAUAGAGAAGAUAGAAUCAGUGCUUUACCAAGUAACGUUAUAGAUGGUAUCCUUGAGCUCCUGCCGGUCAAAGAUGCAGCAAGAACUAGUAUUUUGGCCCAAAAAUGGAGAUAUAUUUGGGCGAUGCUUCCAAAUCUGGUGCUAGAUAAGUGUUUUUUCGGAAAAAUACCACCUCGUCUCUUCAAAGAAAUAGUAAAUGGGAUUCUCUUACAGCAUAUUGGAGUCAUUGUGAAGUUUGUUCUUGACUUUGUAGGAUUACCUUUUUCAACAUAUACAGAUAGAGAUAUUGAUAGAUGGAUGCGUUAUGUCACCAGAAAUGGUGUCAAGGAGCUAACCCUUGACUUGCCAGAUAUUAGAACUUAUAAACUGCCUUCAUAUAUAAUUAAUUGUCCAACCCUGACAUAUUUGGAACUCCAAAACUGUUUAUUCAACCCACCAAAUUCUUUUCUUGGAUUUCAGAAUCUUAUAGACCUCUAUCUUAAAAAAAUAACCUUUGUGCCAACCCCAGAGUUUUGUGUUAUCAAUGUCCCUCGUCUUGUCAUUUUGAGUUUGAUUUCCUGUGAUGGCACUCAAUAUCUGAACAUAGUUUCACCACAGUUGGAGUCCUUGACUCUUCGUGAGUUUCACUCUCUCGUGCUAAAUUGCUUUAUGAAUUGCAAAAGUUUGAGAGCGUUAGUAUUUCUUGAAUUUGACCAAGUGGUUGAAAAAUUAACUUUGGACAAGCUUCUGUCUAGCUUGCCUACACUUGAGGUGCUCGUUUUGGGUUCUAUUUUCCUUGAGCUGUUGAGUGCAGUCAUUGUUCCUAAGGGCCCUCCUUUUACGUUCUACUGCUUGUGGCAUCUGUCAUUAAGUGUAGAUUUUGGCAAAUUGAGUCAGAUCUCUUGCGCUCUACAGUUAAUUAAGAGUUUUCCCCAUUUGAGUAAACUUCAGAUUUGGGUCUAUGGUACUGGCGACAAUGCUGAAGCAGUGAAAUAUCUGGACAGGGCGGUCCGAUCAAUUUCGUGGCUUAAAGCCAAACUUUAUGAGGGGCUUUAACUUUUUUAUUAAUAAAAAAUAUUUUAUUUUUAUUUGAAGUCUAUUUUUCUAACUUUUUUUAGAUGCAAAGUUAUUAUUAAUUUUUUAUAACCAAUUUCAACUAAUAAGUCUUUCUCAAUUGACAAUAUAGCUAAUUCAUUUAAUAUCUUUGAGACAUUGUUGAUCUUAGGUAAGGUUUUAUCAAUUUUAAUUUUGAAACACCUUUUUCCGCUGAAGCAACGGUAAUAGGAGUUAUUAACAUUAUUUUAUAAGUAAUAUAGGCAUUUGAAAAAUAAUCAAACCUUUUUAUUUGAUUGAGUAUAUCAAUUAAAUUGUUAUCUUCUAAUUGUACUAUUUUUCUUAAUAUUUUUAAUUCAGAAAAUAAAUCUAAACUAUCAAUAUCGGGUUGAUUAUUAUGAUUUAAGGAGCUUUCAAGAUGAAGACAAUAUUUUUUUCAAAUUUUCAUCAACUAUUGAUUUCAGUUUUUACCGCUAAAUAGAAAACCAAAAAUAUUUUCAUAUGCCUCUAAUUGUUCAAAUCUAUUUUAAAGUGAAAAGAUAACCUUGUCUACUACUCUCUCCGGUCCAUAAUAAAUGAUUUUUUUUGCUUUUAUUUUGGUCCAAAAUAAGUGUCCUUGUAUAUAAUCGAGAAGGAAUUAACUUUAUUUUUUCAAAAUUUUCCCUUAUUUACAUAUCUUAAUGUGUCAAGUUAACAACAUAUAAAUUUUAAUUAAAGAUAAUUUUAUUCAAUAUACAUUUUUGUUCUAGGAGUCAGUAUUUUCUUAAGGGGUACAACAAAGGUUAAAAAGUCAUUUAUUAUGGACCAGUGAGAGUAUGUAUAAAAGGUAAUCAAUUCUAAAGGUUUCUUCAAUAGAUUUUGAGAUUUCACUAUUAACAUUCACCUCAAAUUGUUUCUUCAUAUAUAUUACAUAUUUUUUAUAAAAUUCGGGUUCGAUAUUAAUUUCAAAUGCAAUUUUCUUGGCAGAAAUUAAAGAAGUUGCAAAUCCUUCAUCUCUUUAUUUGUUAAAUAAAUAAAUCAAACUUUUUCACUUCACAUAACUUUGUUUUUAAAUUUAUAUAUAGCCUAUUAGGUUUUUUAAAAAAUGGGGUCUCCAUAAAUGUGGGACCUAAAGCAGUUGUUUUACCUGCUUUAUGGACGACCGCCCCUGUAUCUGGACACACCAGCCUGCUUGGACCAACCGCUCAACAAGCUCGAGUAUGUGGCCAUCAAUUCUUUUGAGUGUUCAAAAACUGAAAUGUUUUUUGUGAAGUUAUUGUGUGCUCGCACUCCAUCUCCGGUAAGGAUGUGCAUUGAUCAGGAGCCAGACAUUAGUCUCAGGAAAGAAAGGAAUAUUGCCAUAGAACUGAUGCACUUCCCUAGAGCUUCUCCUGGGGCAGAGCUAUUCUAUUUUCCGGGUGCUCCUUAAAAGUCCCAUUCCCAGCCAACACUAUGCUUAGUACAACAACAACAACAAUCCAGUUGAAUCUCACAAGUGGAGUCUGGGGAGGGUCAGACAAGUUCCUUGGCUUCAUCGUAUCGAAUCGGGGGAUCGAGAUCAACCCCGAUAAAAUCAAGGUUAUCGAAAACAUCGCCGUCGUGGACAGUGUAAAAGUCGUGUUUUCGAUGUUGUUUGAUAUGAUUUAAGGUUUUGACUAAGUUCGUGACGUGUUUUAGGACCUGUAAGUAUGUUUGAAUAGGGCUCGGGGGUUUUGGGUGUGAUUCGGAUCAUUUUGGACACGUUGGAAUGUCAUAAUCGAUGUCUACCCUGGGAAGAUAGAGAGGCUGUUUCUGAAAAUAAUAUUUAUGUUUUUGCUUCGAUUUUAACCAAACAUUCUAAACGUCCAUAAUCA
Molecule: non-coding RNA, 3117 nt
Organism: Nicotiana tabacum (common tobacco)
Lineage: Eukaryota; Viridiplantae; Streptophyta; Magnoliopsida; Solanales; Solanaceae
Source: RefSeq, a predicted model, not a curated record